CCUACGGGAGGCAGCAGUAGGGAAUAUUGGACAAUGGGGGAAACCCUGAUCCAGCAAUGCAGCGUGAGUGACGAAGGCCUUAGGGUUGUAAAACUCUUUCAUCGGUGAGGAUAAUGACAGUAGCCGA
RNAcentral lists this ribosomal RNA (127 nucleotides) under uncultured bacterium. Its description in RNAcentral is "partial 16S ribosomal RNA". It matches the Rfam family "Bacterial small subunit ribosomal RNA", at positions 338 to 482 of the family's 1533-position model. The record is from RNAcentral.